GAAGCUACUGGAGCUUAAUACCUAGAAGAAAAACUUGAACUUUUCAAUUCUUUCAAUGUGAUUCCUGGUGAUGCUAAGAAUAUUGGUGUCUGUGUCAUGCCCUGACUUCGGGGAGCAUGCCGGCGCUCAAUCGAGAUAUCCUGGUCAUGCAAGCCUACUUGAUACUUUCUACUCGGCCUUACCCACGAGUAAAGUGAAGACGUAUUCCAUUAAUUAGACAAUGAGAAGAUUACAUGAACAACACCAAUUUCAUUACCAUUAGAACUUCAUUCAUGAUUUCCCAAAAUAUUUUACACAUUCGUAGCUUUAGAAGUGGAACAAGUGUUUCAAGUUGAUUUAUGCAAUCCAAGAUACAAACCCACACUAUGUCUACGGAGCCUCUAAUGGAUACAAAAGAGUAAUAUGAUGGUGUCGUUAACAAAGCUCCGGCUAUAUCUCAAAACCCUGUACAUAAGGAGCAAAAGGUUCAAGAUCCCGAUAUGAAAUCGGGCUCACCAAGUCAGCUGAGAAGAGGGUGUACCGCUAUCGCUGAUGGAUGCCGCAUGUUGUGGAACCACCUACAUCCAUUAAAGAUGCAGCGCCCCCGGCAAAAAAGGACGUUAGUACAUAUGGAAGAGUACUACUAUGUAAGACUAAAUACCCUUUCAAUGAAUCAAGAAACAAUACCAGGAGAAAGAAACAUUCAAUCAAAGAGGGCCUCAAAUAAUAUUAAAGCAUCAAGUUAAGAGAAAUAUAAUUUUCCAAGUAAAUAUCAUUAUUUUUAAGUCGGGAGAUCUUUAGCACCGAUAUGGCACAGUAUUUUUUUUUGCAUGUAGUCCGAUCACGGCUCGAUCGGCUAAGCCGUCUCACCCAAAGACAUCCAAUCACAAUAUCAUUGUGCUAUUUAGCACAGAGUUCGAUCUCAGCCCGAUCGGUUAAGCCGUCUCACCACAAGACAUCCAACUACAAUACCACAAUGUACGCAGCAUGGCAUCCGAUCUCGACCCGAUCGGCUAGGUUGUCUCCCCAUAUGUGUCGUGUGAGUCGACAUCCAAUCCAAGGUUAGCAACAAUCUCAUCCCAAUCAAGGGAAAUAAUUUCAUCACAUUAAUAUGGGUAUUUACCUCUCAAUCACACCUACACCGGCACGUGUAGUUUCAGGGUUAGGUUGUUUCAACCUACCCUUCCUCGGCGACUAAUGAUACUCCCAAAUCAUUUAUUAUAUAAAGAACUUACAGCUAAUUUCAUAAUCUCUCCCACAUUCUUUUCAUUUUAUUUGCACUAUUAGCCACAAGUGUAAUUUCUAUUUUUGGCACGAUGGCCAUAUUUUAUAUCUCAUAGAUUAUCAAUAAUAAGGGCAUUUGUAAUCAAUACUUUAAACAUGUAUAUGAGCAAUAGAAGUCUUAAACACACUGAGUUUUCCUUCCAAGAAUAAGGCAUAAUAAAUCUUGCAUUUGAAACAUGGAUUGAAGUCAUAGCAUUACGAUGCAUAAACCAUACUUGAAUACAUUUCUGAAGGAGAGCAUAAUACGAUAGGAGUAAUUGAAACACAUUUUGAGCACAUAUUUCUCGACACAAUGCUUAUCUGGAAUAACUGAGUGUCUUAGGAAUAACUCGAAAUAAGAGGAGUAGGGACUUGGACAAGUCACGCUUGAAACUUACAAGAACAUCAUGGAAUUCGAUUCUAUGAGAGAAGUUUAGUCAACAUACCUUGCUUGAUCUUUCCUUAAUUUACUACGAGGUUCCAGAAAUCCUAGAGACUUCAAUAUAUUAGAUAUAUGACAAAGCUGAACCAUAAUCAGGAAGUGGUUUUAAGAGUUCAACCCUUUUAGACAUUUUAUUAAACACUAGGUGUGCAAUAUGAUUUCAAGGUUCUUUUAUGGUGGACUUCCUUCAUCCCACAAUCCAAUGUUCACCCAUUUGAGUUCAACAACCUCCCCACAACCUUUGCUGGUAUAUGCAAGCAAAAGGGACAACUCCCACACCCAAGAAUCACACUUCUCAUUACCUACUUUCAGUCCUAAUCCCGAAAUUGAGGGCUAGGGAGUAGAAUCUUACCUCUUAGAUGAAGACGUUGUGAGUUUUCCUUAUUGAAUUUCAAGGCUUGAGCAAGGAUUUGAUGUAUGGAGAUGUUAGUGCCCUUCCUUCUCUCUCUAGCUCCCUUUCCCUCUCUCUAAACGCCAUAUUUUUGCCAUCUAAACGAGCCCCAAUAGCAUUUAAUCAAAAUGGGUCGGUUUAUAAAAAUAAAAAAUGGACCUCCGAACUCAACUCUGCGGUCAUAGAAUGCACCGCAGAUCAGGUCUGCGGCCCACAAAAUGGACCGGAGAAAGGGUCCCAAAAACUAGGCUGGCCUGCACAAGUCUGCGGGCUUUCUGCAGCCCAUAAAACAGUUAUGUGGUCGCAUAAUGUAUCGCAGAAUUUUUCUUCCAAAAUUUCUCAUGCUAGAUAUGUGAUAAAUGUGCAACCCGCGAAAUGAUUCUGCGGCCGCAUAACUGACCGCAAAAUAUCCUUCAAAAUUUGGCUCUGGUUCUGUUGCAUUAUGCGGCCGAUCUGCGGUCUGCGAAGUGAUUCUGCGAUCGCAUAAUGGACCGCAUAAAUGACAUGUUCAGCAAAACUUCUUCUUCCAACUUCCCAAUGCAUUGCAUCACCCAAAAAGUCCAUACAUUAGCCUCAAACACAUUAGCCUACCUCGGCAACACAAAACCUCGAGUUAUGGGUAAACCUUUAUGGCUCUUACUGUUUGUUAGGUAGAAAUAUUGUAUGCCCUAUUUAUAGUUGCAUUCAAGCCACUUAGGGUUUCGAUUGAGUUUGAACAGAUAGUGGAGAGUGAUAAUAAAAUGGAUGACGAUAGUAAGAAAGUGAAAUCAGAGGGAAAAGAGGGGAAAACAGUAUAAGUUUUACCUGAGUACUAGGAGGUUGAUCGUUGAAGCUUUUGGUCUAUUGUUCAAGCCCUAAUGUCCAGAGGUCAUUGCGUUUGACCUCUAGACAACGAAUAAUGAUGAUGAAGGGGGAUAAUAACAAUGCAUGCUCCGAUUCGAAGAAACAAAGGAAGGACAGAUGAAAUUCCAGGUUUCACCUCUAUGUCUAAGUCUUCUGGGUUAGAGAUUCAAAUUAGGGUAAUGAAAGGGAAAGUUUAUGUAGGAUUUGUGGUUAAGCAGGGACAGAAAGGAUGAUUAGGGUUCAGGGGUGGUCUCUGAAUUAAAAGUGGGAGAUGGAAUCUGGGUCGUUGGGUCGUUUGAGCAAUGACCCUGAUAAUUCAAGGCAUAAGAAUUUAAUGAAAUAUUUUUAUUAUAAAAAGAGACGGUCGUUGGAUCCCUAUAAUCAACGACCGAGAUGAGGUCUCAGCAAAAUUAAGGAAAAGAGAAAAAUAGAGAUUAACCACGGACCGUUGAUGAGUUCAAUCAACGGUCCGAAUCUAUUUGUGUUUUCUCUGUGAGCGAGGAAGACGGGUGAUGUGGCAUGCUUUGAUUGGCUUAGAGAGAUUGGCAUGAAUAUUCAUCUUGGAUAGAGGGGGUUGGUUCCGGACUGAUACUGGUCUUGUAUUUUAGGCUAAAUUAGCUGAAAUAAAAUGUAAUUCAUAGCCACAUUGAAUUUAGUUAAUUAAUUACAAUUAUAGCCUUUUUAGUUUUUAACCCCUUUAAAGAUUAAGUUAAUUAGACUUAAUUAAUUCUAAUUGAAUAUAAUAAAAUAUAAUCAUCAAAUAUAUUAUAAAUUAUUGUGAGUAAUUAUUUAAACACCUCAUUUAUCAAAUUAUGACACUAAUUUUUUUAUUAAUUUGAGUAAUAAAGCGAUAUGAUUAUAAAGGGAGGAUAAAAUAAUUGCGAGUAUCAUCAUUGCAAGUAUCAUCCUUUUCCCCGAUUGCCCUGGGUUGUCGGGUAUUGCUAGAGCAUUUUUGGUCGGGUCUUCGAUUGCAGACAUCUUUCCCUUGGAUCUCAGAUUGUACGGUGGCUUAGCCAGUUUUACGUAUCAACACAAACAAACCUCUGAUUUUAGGAAUAAAAUUAAAUAAUAAAGCGAGAAAAUAAGGAAAAGUAGAAGUUAGUUUCAGAGAUUGCACAAAUAUAAGCACAUAGAGCAAUUAAUUCAAGUAUUUAGAUAAGCGUGUCUCCUAAGAUACGACAAACCUCUCUUUGCCAGAGGUAAACCAAUGUCGCGAAUGUUUGAUGAACAAUCAGAUUCUGACACAUUUUGAUCCGGAGCAACCUUUAGUUUUUAUUGAUAGGCUUUGGAUUACAGUAAGACGGGAGUCGUGGUUACAACAUUAUUUUCAAAGUUAACAAAGAUUACAUGGGUUCAUAGGUUUGCCCUUAGGGAAAUGAAAAAAAGGGUACAAGAUAAAGGGAAAUAACCCAGCAACUUAAUAAUUGUCCCCGGAGUCACUUCCCAAGAUUUCUUCUUCAGAUUCCUCUUCAGGGUCUUCUUCAACUUCCUCUUCCUCCUCGUCAUUGUUGUACUCUGGUUCCUCCUCAGGAUCCACCUCUGGCUCUAUUUUUUUACUCAAUCCAUAUGUAUUCAAUUACUUGCUUAAUCCUCCAGUCUGGUCAAUACCUCUCUGCUAGGUCUGGCCAACUAAUCCUUCUCUUGAUACACACGAAAUACUCAGGUGUGCACCAGAGAUUUUGCCCUAUUGGAAUCAUGAUCAUGUCGUUCCAUUCAUAAUGGAGCCUCCUCACCCUCGGGAUUGGAAUUUGUCGGUUGUAAUCAUCUUCAUAAAAAGUUUUCCUUAACCAGCGGGGCACGUAUUGAAUUAGAAAAAAUUGCCUUAGAAUCCUCAGAGGUAAGUACAGCUAAAUUUCUUCAAGUCCCACUAACUCGAUGAAGUACUUUCUCUGGCUUCUCAAGAUUGCCCUGCCACUUAACCAUGAAUAUUUCCAAUUCACGAACUAUCCGCUCAGACGGGUCAGUAUCUCUUGCCACUCCUCUUGCCCAUGCGGUGUAACCAGUGUCUCAUCCUUUUGUUAUGGCUCUUGAUCAUGUUACUGGGGCCAACAAAAUAUUCGACGGUUGUCUCCAUCUAAAAGAAAUAUUUUGUGGCCCACAUCUGGAGUAGUAAGUUACAGCCUUUGAAAAAAUAAUAUCCUCUAGAGCAUGCUGACAGUGCUCGAAAUGUCUCUGCCAAUAUCAUAUGAAUGAGGGUUACUUGCAGAUUCCCUCGAAAGUUUGCCAAGACUAGGGGCAGCAAGUUCACGUUGAUUCGCCCUUUUCUUUGCGGGAAAACUAGCAAUCCCAAUAUUGCUAGAGAAAAGGUUAGAGGGUGGAGGCUCUCCCAUGCUGCUUGAUCACAUUGGAAUUUUUUAAGAUGCCACUCAUAGCUCUCUCGGUGUCCGAACCUGUCGAAUAGUUGGUCCAUACUCACCCAUCGAUCUUUGAUGUUUCUUAGAUUCUUAUUGUUUGUCAGACCCAAUGCAUGGAGGAACCUGUGAUCAGGCAUGGCAACUGGCAGUAUUGGUUUUUGUCCGGCAAAUGAUAACUCCGUGAAGCUAGUGAUCUCCUCCAGUGUUGGUACCAACUCCUAAUCGACAAACUUGAAAACAACCAUAGAUGGGUCCGAAAAAUGUAUUAGCAGUCUAGUAAGGACUUUGUCAGCUCGGAUGUUCAUCAAGGUGGUUAGUUUUCCCAGGUGUGUUCUAAUCUCGUCCAUGUGCUCCCAUCGAAUGUUUCUCUACUACUGCUUCAGCUUGUGUGGUGCACCCAUGACCAUGUUAAUCUCCGGGACAUUGCGGUUGAUUUCUAUCUAAAGAGGUGAAAACUUUUGGUAAGUGUUUGCUUCGGAUCUUUAGCGUCUUAUCUGAAUUGGUUCAUCGUUUUACAAAAGACAUGUCGUUGGGUACAUGAAUCGUUGACAUUACUGUAGCUUUCAUAAUCGUGAGUCAAUACUAAGGAUCAACUUAUCUAAAGUUUAUGCAGCAUGACCUACGUUUGCUAGAGUAGAGUGUUUCCUAAUUUUAAUGUUGGACUGAAUAACUGCGAGAUAUUAUGUCAGUUGACUUGACAAAUCCGUUCUCUGAAAGUAGAAAAUUUUAAAAGAAAGUUGGGAGGGGUGUAAAAGGCAACCCUCGCGUGUCAUUUGUGUGUGAUUGUGUAUGGCCAAGACUCAAUAGGAAAAAUAUAAUGAUAGUGUAUAAAGCAGUAACAAAUAAUGGUGAUAGCAACAAUAGGCAAGUAAGUACAUGUUUGACAGGUCAUAGAAAUACAAACAAGUAAGACAAGUAAACACAUAUUUUUCAAAAUUAAGCACAGUAAAAGAAUAAUAUAAACAAACAUCCCCAAAUUUCGGGUCUAGCCUAAAUCUGCUAAGGUUAUAACCUAAGUGUAAAGAUCCCCAUCAGCGUCGUCAUGUUAUUGCACCUUAUUUUGCACACGUCUAAACAAAGUAUAACUAGUGGUUCUUCUGAUAUUGAUAAAAGAGAGUUCCCACCUAAUAUUUAAGAUAUAUUAGGAUACUUAUAUUUUUGUAAGAUUAUUAUCCUAAUGGUCUGCUAACCGGUGAGAUUUGGGUUCGGGUUCUAGUUAUUCUAAAGGGAAGGUGUUAGGCAUCCCUUUAAAUCUACCUGAGGUCGCUCCUUAAACUUUGGCUAGGUUCGAGGAAAGAAAUACCUUUAUUCUAGUUAAUUAAUGGCUAAAGUUACAAAGUAAGAUUUAUAAAAACAUCUAAGUCUUCUUUGAAAACGCAUUGUAUUGAAAAAGGUUAUGUAUUUCUUUUGAAAAGAAUGACAUUCGUUCGUGAGACUUAAUGAAUAAGAGAUUACUAAAAUAUGCUUUAAUUGAAAACAAUUAUACCUCAUCUUGUUGAAAUGCCAUAUGUUUCAAGCUUAUUUGUAAGAAUGGUUGUGCGUGGUUGCUUUUAUUAUUUUUUAGAGCAAUGGUUGUGUUUUACGUGACCCGUAUGAUGAUAUUCCAAAACAUAAUUGGUUAUCGUUUUGAACCUGCAAUAACUGAAAUUGUUAGUGGAAAAACAUAAGUAAACGAUUUAUUCAUUGAAAGAUUAGUUUAAAUUAUUAAAGCUCAAAUGUAUUAGAGUAAUGAAAAAAAAGGCAAGUCUAUAAUCCUAUGUCGUCUUUUUUACCUGUAAGACUUGGUUGGCCUACGUCUCCUAAACAAUCAAAACAUCAAACAAUAUUCAAUAGCAAUGUUAGCUUCAAAAUAUAUACAAAGAAUAACUGAAAAAGAUAAUAUUUACCAUUUAAAAAUGUGAGAGGGAGGAAAGGGCUGGACUCUUAAUAUUGUGCAAAUGGAUAGUCAGGCCCUGAAGAUUUUCACACGAGUAGCAGACUCCAGGAAAAGCAACCAAGGCUGGAGCUUGGGCUUAAGUUUAAAGAACUCAGAAGUCCUAGUUCAAAUAUGCACACGAAUGAAAUAAGAAGAUAAUUUUUGGAAAUCAAUAUAAUGCAUAACAAUAAUAAAUCACGAGUGAUAAUAAAGCUACAGAAUAUAUUAAAUCCAAUCUCAUUUGUGUUAAUCCUAUGAGGAUUAAAAAGAGUCAAUGAACAAAGGCUUAGAUUAAAACCUUAUUCAUGGAUAAAAUCCCCCUUUGGACCCUUGGUACUUUAGAGUUCAUAACGGUCUCAUAGACCCCGAGUAGUGCUUGUGUCAGGGAAGGGUAUCUUAACCACAUACCAGGUUUCACACCCAAAUACCCUUAACCGCCCACGCUUACUCUUUCUCAAAUGUUUAGACAUAAAUGAGGUGUCAACUUAGUAGUUAACAUGGAAGCAUCAGUGGACACAAAGAUUCAGGAACACAGAACAUCAACAAAAACUAUAGAGAAUAUCAUCACUAGAUUGCAAGCAUUUGCAAAGUUCAGAACUAAUCACAAUAUUGACUUUAGGAUCUUUUAUCAGAACCCUAAAUAAAAAGGCAAGUUACUGCAAGUAGACUUAUAUGGUCCAGUAAUAUCAAUGACCUUAAGGUUGAUUAUAGCAUGCAUCAAGACACUUAGGAAGGUUAUCACUCAUAUAUAAAAAUAAAGAGAGUUAGUGGUAAAUGAAUUGGUAAUUGAUAGGGAAAGACAUAUGUAUUAGUUUUAUUAGUUCUACUGAGGGUUCAACAUUUUAGGAUCCUUAACUAGGUUUAUAGCACUUCAACUAAAAUUUCAGUAAUCUCUAGAACAGUGUAAGGUAAGCAUAUACAUGGACGAGACCUUACUUCACCAAACACCUGUACUGACAGCCUUGUUCAGGCUUCCCAAAGAUAACAACAACCAGCAGAGAUAAUAAUGUAAGUGGGAAGGUCAUUUUUAGUCUAGUUCAAACCUACUAGCAUGAUAUCUAGUCGUAGUUUGUCAUGUUUCCAAACAAUUUCAGAUUCUUGAGUAAAUUCUUAUAGACAAGGAUAUCAAUCAAAUAUGAGACAGUGGAUGGGGAUAUUCAUUCUCAGUGGGUGAGAGAAGACAAACAUGUCUUGGUGAAUUUACUUAAACAUGUGAGUGACCAGGUUACACUAGUAAACAUCCCAUUUUAGAUCCUAUGUUCAACAUUGUUCACUCAAGUUGCUAAAUUAUUAAGGCAGACAUGAUUCAAACUAUCAAGAGAAGAUUUCAGCAAAGGACAUAGUAAAUUCAGCAUGAAACUUUCUCAACUAAAGAGCAGGUAAAGGUUCAUGGGCAUUACUAGACUAGCAGAAGUAUGAUGAACAUAAGCACGUGCAUGUAGGUAAAUAAGAUUCAGUCAGCCAACAUACAAUAUGGUUUCUAUAGAGUUUCAUGGUCAUAAAAUAAUCACAGAUCAAGUGAGCAGAUGAUGUGAUGACUGCAUUGAUAUGUUAAUCAUAUGAGUUCAAACUAUAAUAAUAGACUUGCAUGAACUCUUAAGUGCACAUAACAAACAUAGUUUCAACAAGAAAAAUAUUCAAUUAAGGUCAUCAAAGCAAAAUAAUUAAAUGAAUGUCAUGAACUGUGAUGAUAAUCAUUUUUAUUGAAUCAAAAUCCGGUGGCAUAAUAUUACAAAUGUAAGGAUCAAUAUUGCUCAGUGCAGCAAACAGGACAUUAGGAGAGGGUUAAGAGCAUAGCUCAAUUAGGUUAGCGAAACAUGAUAGUAUAGCUAUCAUUUAACUGAUAGAGGUAGAGCAUACAUAGGAUUAACAUAAGGCUUAGUUCAACCAAUCAUAAAAGGUUCAACAUGAUUUGCUCAGAAGAGUAUCAACAUCAUUAAAACAUUUUAUUUGGCUAAGUUUUGGGAGAUAGAAUAUCAUUAACAACAUGGUUUAGAUAGCAGUAUCCGAACAUCAUAAUUUAUCAGGAAAUUACCAACUCGACUAUGAAAAUGGCAUACAACAAAAAUAAUAUAACAAGUAUAGUCAUGUACAACUGAUGUAUAUCGUAAAAAAAAGGUGAUUAACAGGAAAACAUCAUAAAAUUUUACAAUUAAAAGAUAGAGACAAUGUCAUUAUACACUGACCUUCUACAGAGCAGCAAACCAAGAAAGAGUUGAUUCUUAGCAAUUUAGAGUCCAAACCAAAUACGAAUUAUGUACAGAAAUGGAACUCGAGCAAAAAUGAAAAGAUGAAAAGAUAAAUUAGUGAGAAGCUACUGGAACUUAAUAAUUAGAAGAAAAACUUAAACUUUUUAAUUCUUUCAAUGUGUUUGCUGGUGAUGUUAAGUGUAUUGGUGUCUUGAAUACCCUAUUUAUAGUGGCAUCCAAGCAACUUAGGGUUUCAAUUGAGUUCGAACGGAUAGUGAAGAGUGACGAUAGGAUGGAUGACGAUACUAAGCAAGUGAAAUCAGAGGGUAAAGGGGGGAAAAUAGUAUAAGUUUUACCUGAGCACGAGGAGGUCGACAAUUAAAGCUUUUGGUCCAUCAGUCAUGCCUUAAUGUCUAGAGGUCGCUGCGUUUGACCUCUGGACAAUGAAUAAUGAAGCUGAAGCUGAAGAUAAUAACCAGGCAUGCUCUAAUUCGACGAAACAAAGGAAGGAUAUAUGAAUUCCCAGGCUUCACCUUUAGGUCUAGGGCUUCUGGGUUAGAGAUUCAAAUUAGGGUAACGAAAGGGGAAAGUUCAGGUGGGAUUCACGGUUCAGUAGGGACAAAAAUGAUGAUUUGAGGUCGGAUUUGUGAUCUUGCACAAAUUUGUGCCAGUUUUUAGGACUGAUAGGGGUGAUGGGAAUGAGAUAAAGGAGACAAGAAAGGGAAAUUAGGGUGGCCGUUUG
RNAcentral lists this long non-coding RNA (10118 nucleotides) under Nicotiana tabacum (common tobacco). Its description in RNAcentral is "long non-coding RNA (NTAB_LNC008499)". The record is from RNAcentral. Lineage: Eukaryota; Viridiplantae; Streptophyta; Magnoliopsida; Solanales; Solanaceae.